CCUGGGCUGCAGGAGGAGGGAAAAUCACUCUAGAAAGCAGUGGUGAAAAGGAAGGAGGGCCAAGGCUGGAACUCUGAGAACAGCUGUGUUUGGAAUGGUGGUGGGCAGGACAGGAAUGGAGCAAUCCAGAGAGAAGAUGGUCCAGAGACUGGGACAUCAAGGAAAGUGAGGAGGAGGGCUUUUCAAGGAGGGGUCUAGAGACAAUAUUCCAUGACAAGGAAAGGGCUGGAGGUACAGCAAGGAGAUUUUAGGCCCUCGGCAAGGGGAAGGGGAGAAUGAAUGGGAGAGGUGGGUCCCUAAGGGAUGGGGAGAGGCAGGGAGGUGGGAACCUGCAGGAAGGAAGAGGCUGGAGAUGAAAGGAUAGAGCAGACAGGGCAGAAGCAUUGGAUCCACAUGGAGGAGGAAACAGGGUGAGAAUCCAGAACUCUGGGAGGGCAGCCAACCCGAACGCUGGUAACAGCCGAGCACUGGUCAGUACGGCUGUCCUGCGCCCACGUGGUGCGUCAGGCACGGCGCCUGCGUGGAUGACCGAGCUCUGGGCCUCGCGGAUCUCUCCAUUUUCCAGAGGUGCUUCCUACUGAAGACACCCACGGCACUGCACACAGAGGUGCUCACCUCACUGCACUUCAGAGGGUAGGUGUGUGUGUGUGUGGAAACCUGGUGACUCGUGCCCAGACUUGAAUGGGGCGUUGGGUGAUUUUGCCGAUGGAUGAAAACACCAAGGCCCUGUGUUUGCUCCAGUUUCACUUCAGCACCCUCUGGAUUUACAGCUUGGCCCAGGUCUGUCGUCAUCGCGGCCCAGAUCCUGUGGCAUGACAGUGACUAGUAACCUUCUCCAUACCAGACUUUGAACACACACAUCCUUGAGGUAUGUUUUAAACUCUGUACCUAUUUAUAAUAUAUGAAUCAUGUUUCUUCUCAUAAUACUAUUGACUGUCUCUGUGAAAAUGGGAACCACUGGAAUAACUGAAACCUCUAAAAUAGGGAUAUUUGUGCCUGUAAUAAGUGCUUUGACACAGUGUGAUUCCUUUGACAAUCUAGAUUUUGACCUGGUCUAUUUAAACUCUGCUGGGAACAUAAUUUUCACAUCAAACUUCCACUGUAAAUUGUAUUAUAAGUAAAAUAUGUAGGUUCUGCCUCCACAUUAAUUUUUUUGCCUGGCACAUAAAUCGUUGUUUAAGAUUCAAAGGAAUCUUAUUGGUCAAAUACAUCUAAUAAUGGGGAUGAUAUAAUAGAAAAAUUUAUAUCCAUAGAGAAUGCACCUUAAGCAGUUUUAUUUUAUAGCUGAUAUUUUUAUUUUUGCUUGGGUGUACGAUUCUUGUUUGUCAAGACUCCACUUUCUUUGUUAAAAUGUAAAAUGCAUAUUGGGCAAACGCUCCAGGGCAAUUUGCAUAAAAAGUGAUGACAAAGAGCAAUUAGUACUUCAUUAUUAUGCAGUGAAAUGCUACUUUGCUCGAAAGUGACUGUAGUUUCUCCCCCCCACCACCCCCUUAUAAAUCUGGUACAGCAUUGUUCUAAAAAUAGUACUUAAGAAACCUCUGUUUGUAAAUCAGGGUCUUUGACUUUCCACUAGAAAUCCGGGGAGAAAAAUGCAAGCACUAAAUAAAGUUAUUACCCCAGAUCUUUAUAAUGAAAAGCAAGCACCAGAAUUCUCUUAGAUAAGACAGGUCAGAAGAUUUUUAAUGUCUCAUCAAAUUGGAUCCAUAUCUUAUUUUACCCCUUGGGAUCAGCUUUCAAAGCAGACUCAGAUCAUACAUUGAUAGCAACAGUCGCCUCCCCCCAGCACACACUCAGAAACAGGGUCAUGCCACACACGGCUACACUGCAGAGAACAAACAGUCCCUAGGUAUCUCUAGUUAGGAAGGCUUGAUUUUUGAGUACAGAUUUCAUUACCAUGAAAUUCCUUCAGGGCGAAAAAGAAUUGCAUCAAAGAAGCAGUGUGGGGAGGCAGACUUUGUAAAUAUUCACCCCAUCACCUGUGUUACCAGGCUCUGCCUGUCCUUAAUUUGCCAGGAAAUGCUUUUUUUGUUGUUGUUAAAAAAAAAAAAAUUUCUUGUGGAGCUGACAUAUUAUCUAAAACUGUGUAAAUCCAAAUGUGCCAGCAGUGUGUGUGUGUGUGUGUGUGUGUGCGCGCGCGCAUGCGUGCGUGCGUGGUGACCAAGUAAUUGGAUACUGGCAGGAUGAGAAAGAAACAUGGGGACUACCAAACCUUCAGAAAAUGACCUCAGGAGGCUGGAGAUGGACAUGGAUUUCAGUAAAUUUUUUUGGAAGCCCCAAAGCAGACUUGGGGAGGAGUUGGAAGAAGGGGUGGAGGUGGGAGCUCAGUAAACACAGUCUUGUAUUUGGUUCUUUCCCUCCUGGUCCUCAGUGGGCCAGACUGGAUCCAUGCAAUCCCUCAAACCAUACCCUUGGUCUGCAGGGCUCCUAGAUGGCUGACCCAACCUGCUUUACUUGUAUCCUAAGGGUCUCUUUACUCUGGGAAGCUGGGAUUAGCCUCAUCAUCUGCAGUUUAGGCUCAGCAGCUCAGGGCUGUAGGGCCUGUCUCAGAGAGGAAAGGGACGUGGGGAGGCCCUUAAGCACACUGCUUCAAGCACAAGUAACUUGUGCAGUUGGAUGUCCUUCCCCCAGAUUUUGUUUAUUUUCUUCUUUGUUCCUCUUCUUAGACCACCAGUGAAAAUCCCAUGAAGUCACAUAGCUCAUACCAUUUCAAAGGUGUACUGUCCAACCUGGAGAUAACUUGUGAUCAUUCUACAUUCCAUCACAGAUUUAUUAUUCAUACGAUUUUCCAUUAAUUUUUAAUGUUUCCAAGUUCCUAGUUAUUUAACAUAUAAAGCAAUUGGCCAGACAUCUUCAUAUAGCUAUGAAAAGUGGCUCUAAAGUCCCUUUGCCUAGCAUCUCCAUCUAUUAACUAGCUGAUGAGACAGUACUGCUCUCAGCCAUGGUCAGGACCCCUGCCUUGGGUUCCCAUACAGCACAGAUCCCCAUGAGUUGGAUGGUUUUCCGUGAAAGAAGUCCCCAGCCUGCAAUGCGAUUUGGAUGAGGUGUCCAAGCCAGAACCCAUUUCUCUCCUUCAGGGCACUCUCCCACUCUCUAUCCAGCCUAUGAAGUUGACCAGAUAUCCAGGAGAGCUCUAGAACUCACACCCAUGGGAUCAUCCCAGACAAUGCCAGACCUAUGGAAUCAGGCCUAAUGCAGGAGAUCAGCCUGGGCAGAUAGGUUCCCACUGACACUGGCCAGCAAGUUAUUUCUUUUGUAAUACUGCAUGACAAUGGACCUGUAGAAUGGUGCUGAAUUGCUGAUUUCAGGAAAUUCUCAUUCACGAAGGAUGAAAAAGACAAGAAUUUUUACAUUGGGCAAUAAAUAAGUACCCGCUGGUUCAAAAAUCUUCACCAGUAAAUACCUUAUAUGGGUUCAUUUUCUAAUAAAAUCAUUUAUAUAUACAAAACCCUGCAAAAUACAUUUGCCUAUGGCUCACCCUUCCCAG
This is a non-coding RNA of Sus scrofa (pig), 3484 nucleotides long. The record is from RefSeq and is a predicted model, not a curated record. NCBI's taxonomy places the organism in Eukaryota, Metazoa, Chordata, Mammalia, Artiodactyla, Suidae.